GGGUUGUGAGGUUAAGCGACUAAGCGUACACGGUGGAUGCCCUGGCAGUCAGAGGCGAUGAAGGACGUGCUAAUCUGCGAUAAGCGUCGGUAAGGUGAUAUGAACCGUUAUAACCGGCGAUUUCCGAAUGGGGAAACCCAGUGUGAUUCGUCACACUAUCAUUAACUGAAUCCAUAGGUUAAUGAGGCGAACCGGGGGAACUGAAACAUCUAAGUACCCCGAGGAAAAGAAAUCAACCGAGAUUCCCCCAGUAGCGGCGAGCGAACGGGGAGGAGCCCAGAGCCUGAAUCAGUGUGUGUGUUAGUGGAAGCGUCUGGAAAGGCGCGCGAUACAGGGUGACAGCCCCGUACACAAAAAUGCACAUGCUGUGAGCUCGAUGAGUAGGGCGGGACACGUGGUAUCCUGUCUGAAUAUGGGGGGACCAUCCUCCAAGGCUAAAUACUCCUGACUGACCGAUAGUGAACCAGUACCGUGAGGGAAAGGCGAAAAGAACCCCGGCGAGGGGAGUGAAAAAGAACCUGAAACCGUGUACGUACAAGCAGUGGGAGCACGCUUCGGCGUGUGACUGCGUACCUUUUGUAUAAUGGGUCAGCGACUUAUAUUCUGUAGCAAGGUUAACCGAAUAGGGGAGCCGAAGGGAAACCGAGUCUUAACUGGGCGUUAAGUUGCAGGGUAUAGACCCGAAACCCGGUGAUCUAGCCAUGGGCAGGUUGAAGGUUGGGUAACACUAACUGGAGGACCGAACCGACUAAUGUUGAAAAAUUAGCGGAUGACUUGUGGCUGGGGGUGAAAGGCCAAUCAAACCGGGAGAUAGCUGGUUCUCCCCGAAAGCUAUUUAGGUAGCGCCUCGUGAAUUCAUCUCCGGGGGUAGAGCACUGUUUCGGCAAGGGGGUCAUCCCGACUUACCAACCCGAUGCAAACUGCGAAUACCGGAGAAUGUUAUCACGGGAGACACACGGCGGGUGCUAACGUCCGUCGUGAAGAGGGAAACAACCCAGACCGCCAGCUAAGGUCCCAAAGUCAUGGUUAAGUGGGAAACGAUGUGGGAAGGCCCAGACAGCCAGGAUGUUGGCUUAGAAGCAGCCAUCAUUUAAAGAAAGCGUAAUAGCUCACUGGUCGAGUCGGCCUGCGCGGAAGAUGUAACGGGGCUAAACCAUGCACCGAAGCUGCGGCAGCGACACUAUGUGUUGUUGGGUAGGGGAGCGUUCUGUAAGCCUGCGAAGGUGGCCUGUGAGGGUUGCUGGAGGUAUCAGAAGUGCGAAUGCUGACAUAAGUAACGAUAAAGCGGGUGAAAAGCCCGCUCGCCGGAAGACCAAGGGUUCCUGUCCAACGUUAAUCGGGGCAGGGUGAGUCGACCCCUAAGGCGAGGCCGAAAGGCGUAGUCGAUGGGAAACAGGUUAAUAUUCCUGUACUUGGUGUUACUGCGAAGGGGGACGGAGAAGGCUAUGUUGGCCGGGCGACGGUUGUCCCGGUUUAAGCGUGUAGGCUGGUUUUCCAGGCAAAUCCGGAAAAUCAAGGCUGAGGCGUGAUGACGAGGCACUACGGUGCUGAAGCAACAAAUGCCCUGCUUCCAGGAAAAGCCUCUAAGCAUCAGGUAACAUCAAAUCGUACCCCAAACCGACACAGGUGGUCAGGUAGAGAAUACCAAGGCGCUUGAGAGAACUCGGGUGAAGGAACUAGGCAAAAUGGUGCCGUAACUUCGGGAGAAGGCACGCUGAUACGUAGGUGAAGUCCUCGCGGAUGGAGCUGAAAUCAGUCGAAGAUACCAGCUGGCUGCAACUGUUUAUUAAAAACACAGCACUGUGCAAACACGAAAGUGGACGUAUACGGUGUGACGCCUGCCCGGUGCCGGAAGGUUAAUUGAUGGGGUUAGCGGUAACGCGAAGCUCUUGAUCGAAGCCCCGGUAAACGGCGGCCGUAACUAUAACGGUCCUAAGGUAGCGAAAUUCCUUGUCGGGUAAGUUCCGACCUGCAACGAAUGGCGUAAUGAUGGCCAGGCUGUCUCCACCCGAGACUCAGUGAAAUUGAACUCGCUGUGAAGAUGCAGUGUACCCGCGGCAAGACGGAAAGACCCCGUGAACCUUUACUAUAGCUUGACACUGAACAUUGAGCCUUGAUGUGUAGGAUAGGUGGGAGGCUUUGAAGUGUGGACGCCAGUCUGCAUGGAGCCGACCUUGAAAUACCACCCUUUAAUGUUUGAUGUUCUAACGUUGGACCCGUUAUCGGGGGUUGCGGACAGUGUCUGGUGGGUAGUUUGACUGGGGCGGUCUCCUCCUAAAGAGUAACGGAGGAGCACGAAGGUUGGCUAAUCCUGGUCGGACAUCAGGAGGUUAGUGCAAUGGCAUAAGCCAGCUUGACUGCGAGCGUGACGGCGCGAGCAGGUGCGAAAGCAGGUCAUAGUGAUCCGUGGUUCUGAAUGGAAGGGCCAUCGCUCAACGGAUAAAAGGUACUCCGGGAUAACAGGCUGAUACCGCCCAAGAGUUCAUAUCGACGGCGGUGUUUGGCACCUCGAUGUCGGCUCAUCACAUCCUGGGGUGCGAAAGCAGGUCAUAGUGAUCCGGUGGUUCUGAAUGGAAGGGCCAUCGCUCAACGGAUAAAAGGUACUCCGGGAUAACAGGCUGAUACCGCCAAGAGUUCAUAUCGACGGCGGUGUUUGGCACCUCGAUGUCGGCUCAUCACAUCCUGGGCUGAAGUAGGUCCCAAGGGUAUGGCUGGUUCGCCAUUUAAGUGGUACGCGAGCUGGGUUUAGAACGUCGUGAGACAGUUCGGUCCCUAUCUGCCGUGGGCGCUGGAGAACUGAGGGGGGCUGCUCCUAGUACGAGAGGACCGGAGUGGACGCAUCACUGGUGUUCGGGUUGUCAUGCCAAUGGCACUGCCCGGUAGCUAAAUGCGGAAGAGAUAAGUGCUGAAGCAUCUAAGCACGAAACUUGCCCCGAGAUGAGUUCUCCCUGACUCCCUGAGAGUCCUGAAGGAACGUUGAAGACGACGACGUUGAUAGGCCGGGUGUGUAAGCGCAGCGAUGCGUUGAGCUAACCGGUACUAAUGAACCGUGAGGCUUAACCUUACAACGCCGAAG
RNAcentral lists this ribosomal RNA (3076 nucleotides) under Escherichia coli. Its description in RNAcentral is "bacterial LSU rRNA". It matches the Rfam family "Bacterial large subunit ribosomal RNA". The record is from RNAcentral. Lineage: Bacteria; Pseudomonadati; Pseudomonadota; Gammaproteobacteria; Enterobacterales; Enterobacteriaceae.